GCAGAAAUGUGGUCUGUCGCUUCAAGACAGGAUUUUGAAGAGGAAAGUCCGGGCAACAAAGAGCGCCGCAUUUUCUAACGGAAAGCCGGUGGUGACACCGGGUGCCAGUGACAGAAAAUAACCGCCGCUGCCGACACAUCGCAGCGGUAAGGGUGAAAAGGUGAGGUAAGAGCUCACCGGCCGGCAUGGCGACAUGUCGGGCCGCACACACUGCGGGUUGCAAGGUCAAAUAUACCGGCAGCUAAGGAUUGCUCGUCCAUUGCCGGGGGGUAGACUGCUAAAGCGCGCCGGGCAACCGGCCGCUCAGAUAAAUGACAGACACCCGCUAUGCGGGCACAUAACCCGGCUUAUAACAUCUCUGCCACC
RNAcentral lists this RNase P RNA (366 nucleotides) under Muribaculaceae bacterium. RNAcentral describes it as "RNase P RNA component class A". It matches the Rfam family "Bacterial RNase P class A". From Rfam's summary of the family: Ribonuclease P (RNase P) is a ubiquitous endoribonuclease, found in archaea, bacteria and eukarya as well as chloroplasts and mitochondria. Its best characterised activity is the generation of mature 5'-ends of tRNAs by cleaving the 5'-leader elements of precursor-tRNAs. Lineage: Bacteria; Pseudomonadati; Bacteroidota; Bacteroidia; Bacteroidales; Muribaculaceae. The record is from RNAcentral.